Molecule: long non-coding RNA, 2220 nt
Filed under: Homo sapiens (human)
Lineage: Eukaryota; Metazoa; Chordata; Mammalia; Primates; Hominidae
Description: HSALNT0213912
Source: RNAcentral
CAUAUACUUAAUGUUAUGGAAAUAUUAGUGAUGAUGAUUUUAUGUAAAUAAUUGCAAGUUUCCAGCUGUGCAGCUUUAUUUUUUCCAUCCUCUGUAUUUCUAUGUAAAUUAUUCUUAAAUUCAAAUCAGACCACACCAAAGGCUCUUCAGUGUUUUACAUACAAGAUAAGCUUCAAGCUACCUUCUCAAGCUCCAAAGACCUUUAUUUCCAGGCCAAUGCCUAAGUCUAUGGCCUUACUAAGCACCAUGUUGUUAGCUUAUCCUUAGUGUGAAUUCUUUGAAGUUCCUUUGCAUUUACCCAGCUAAUUCAUGCCUGCAUGCCUUUGUCUUUUUCUUUUCCUUCUGUUUGUAAUGUCCGCUCCACACCAGCCUUAUUACCUAGGCAGGGCCUUUUCGUACAACAUGAUGUUUUGAAAUAUGUAUACAAGGCCAGGCACAAUGACUAAUGCCUGUAAUCCCAGCACUUUGGGAGGCUGAGGUAGGUGAAUCACCUGAGGUCAGGAGUUCAAGAACAGCCUGGCCAACAUGGUGAAACCCUGUCUCUACUAAAAAUAUCUUAAAAUUUAGCCAAACGUGGUGGUGGGCACCUGUAAACUCAGCUACUCAGGAGGCUGAGGCAGGAGAAUCGCUUGAACCUGGGAGGCGGAGGUUUCAGUGAGCCGACACAGUGCCACUGCACUCCAGCCUAGGCAACAGAGCGAGACUCCGUCUCAAAAACAAAAAACAACAACAAACAACAAACCAAGAACAGGCACAUUAAACAAACAGAAUCUGCUCUUGUUUCCCUAUCCAUUAGAAACCUAUAUUGGGGAGCAAUGGGAAAAAAGCAUAACAGUAAAAAAUAAAAUGUUUAAAUGCAUCAUGUAAUGGUUCCUGGUAGAAAAGCUAGGCAACCAGCAAUGACUAUGUUUUAGGCACUCUUCUCCAUCUGCUCUGAAAUGCAGUUAUUUUAUUCCCAUCUCAGACUUGUAAAAAUGGAAGAUUUAAACUCAGUUCAGUGUCUUACUCCAUUCUGAAACUCUCAGACCUGGUGUCAAUCAAGCACAAAUUAAGAGUUGGUUAAACUUCAAAAGGCAAGCGUGGGAAAAGACAGUCUGGGUUUCAGGCGAAAGAUACAAAAUCAAGACAAUAGAGGCCAGGUGUGGUGGCAAGACAAUAGAGGCUGGGUGUGGUGGCUCACGCCUGUAAUCCCAGGACACUGGGAGGCUGAGGUGGGUGGAUAACCUGAGGUCAGGAGUUCGAGACCAGCCUGAGCAACAUGGUGAAACCCCGUCUCUACUAAAAACACAAAAUUAUCUGGGCACGGUGCCUGUAGUCCCAACUAUUUGCGAGGCUGAGGCAGGAGAAUCUCUUGAACCUGGGAGGCAGAGGUUGCAGUGAGCUGAGAUCAUGCCAUUGCACUCCAGCCGGGGCAACAAGAGUGAAACUGCGUCUCAAAAAAAUAAAUAAAUAAAUAAAAAAUAAAGACAAUAGAAAGGAAAGUGUAGGGCAUGUUGAGAAGAAAACACAGAAUAGGAAGUUGCAAAGGGGAGAAUAGAGAUAAGACAGGAACAAUAAAUUAAGUCUUUGUAGUGAAAAGCUUCAAAUGGCAGAUUCAGCAGGGAAGAAGGAAAGAAUGAAGUACUUUUGGAAUCUGUCAAAACUGGGCAAUGGUAAAGUUAAUAUGACAGUGAAAGAUGUAGGAUAUACUGGAUCCCGGAGUGACUGGAUGUAGAGUGAUGAAUCAGGUGGUUAUUCCAAUAUUUCUAGUAAUGAUAAUAAUGUUUCAAAUUGAAGUAUUGGUAGUGAAGAGAGAGGUAGUGAACAAAUAUUUGCUAUACAUGAUUUGAACCACAGUAUAGGUAUAUCUGUGCUAUCACUGUGUGCAUCUUAAUUUUUUUUUUACCCAAUGAACUGAAUAAAAACACUGAAAGUAGUGUAGAGGAUACUUGUUUGUUUCCUGUAAUCAUAUAACAAUAUGUAAUGGAAUGCCAAAUGCAUGACAAGUUAAGUUAUUCCUGCACAGAAUCUGCCAAGCACAUGAAUAAAGUUGCAAAACACAUUUGAAAGUGUCAGGUGGAUGCUUUUGGAAAACUCUAUGUACACUUAUUAAAAAAAAACAAUAGCUGCUGUGACACAUACGUCAAAACCAAUGUGUGUUUAAAAGUUUGGUAAACCUGCCUCAGAUACCCUUUCAUAUAAUGUGCUUUUUAGCAAAGCCAAACUUUGUUUAAAUAUUUU